This 468-nucleotide ribosomal RNA is filed under the name uncultured bacterium. Its description in RNAcentral is "partial 16S ribosomal RNA". It matches the Rfam family "Bacterial small subunit ribosomal RNA", at positions 28 to 507 of the family's 1533-position model. The record is from RNAcentral.
GACGAACGCUGGCGGCGUGCUUAACACAUGCAAGUCGAACGGAAAGGCCCUGCUUUUGUGGGGUGCUCGAGUGGCGAACGGGUGAGUAACACGUGAGUAACCUGCCCUUGACUUUGGGAUAACUUCAGGAAACUGGGGCUAAUACCGGAUAGGAGCUCCUGCUGCAUGGUGGGGGUUGGAAAGAUUCGGCGGUUGGGGAUGGAAUAGCGGCUUAUCAGCUUGUUGGUGGGGUAGUGGCUUACCAAGGCUUUGACGGGUAGCCGGCCUGAGAGGGUGACCGGCCACAUUGGGACUGAGAUACGGCCCAGACUCCUACGGGAGGCAGCAGUGGGGAAUAUUGCACAAUGGGCGGAAGCCUGAUGCAGCAACGCCGCGUGCGGGAUGACGGCCUUCGGGUUGUAAACCGCUUUCGCCUGCGACGAAGCGUGAGUGACGGUAAUGGGUAAAGAAGCACCGGCUAACUACGUG